GCCUGGGUGGCUCAGUCGGUUGAGCGUCUGACUUCGGCUCAGGUCAUGAUCUCGCAGUUUGUAAGUUCGAGCCCUGCGUCAGGCU
Molecule: transfer RNA, 85 nt
Filed under: Felis catus (domestic cat)
Lineage: Eukaryota; Metazoa; Chordata; Mammalia; Carnivora; Felidae
Rfam family: tRNA
About the family: Transfer RNA (tRNA) molecules are approximately 80 nucleotides in length. Their secondary structure includes four short double-helical elements and three loops (D, anti-codon, and T loops).
Source: Rfam by way of RNAcentral